This is a non-coding RNA of Podarcis lilfordi (Lilford's wall lizard), 101 nucleotides long. The record is from the annotation of a GenBank genome assembly. Lineage: Eukaryota; Metazoa; Chordata; Lepidosauria; Squamata; Lacertidae.
UGUGCGGCUCUUGCAGGCUUUUCUCCAAGGAGGGAGAAGGGACUGACAGGCCGUGACAGUCCCUUCUCCCUUCUCGGGGAAAAGCCCGCAAGAGCCGCGCU